GAAAUAGCUGGCGGCAGGCUUAACACAUGCAAGUCGAACGGAUGUAGCAAUACAUUAGUGGCGCACGGGUGAGUAACGCGUGGGAACGUGCCCUUAGGUACGGAACAACCUCGGGAAACUGAGGCUAAUACCGUAUAAUAUCUUCGGAUCAAAGAUUUAUCGCCUAAGGAUCGGCCCGCGUUGGAUUAGGUAGUUGGUGAGGUAACGGCUCACCAAGCCGACGAUCCAUAGCUGGUCUGAGAGGAUGAUCAGCCACACUGGGACUGAGACACGGCCCAGACUCCUACGGGAGGCAGCAGUGAGGAAUAUUGGACAAUGGGGGAAACCCUGAUCCAGCCAUGCCGCGUGAGUGAUGAAGGCCUUCGGGUUGUAAAGCUCUUUUACCCCUGACGAUAAUGACGGUAAGGGGAGAAAAAGCCACGGCUAACUUCGUGCCGGCAGCCGCGGUAAUACGAAGGUGGCAAGCGUUGUUCGGAUUUACUGGGCGUAAAGAGUGCGUAGGCGGUUUAACAAGUCAGGAGUGAAAGCCC
Molecule: ribosomal RNA, 530 nt
Filed under: uncultured bacterium
Lineage: Bacteria
Description: bacterial SSU rRNA
Rfam family: Bacterial small subunit ribosomal RNA
Source: RNAcentral